This is a long non-coding RNA of Pelobates fuscus (common spadefoot toad), 461 nucleotides long. RefSeq lists it as uncharacterized. The record is from RefSeq and is a predicted model, not a curated record. NCBI's taxonomy places the organism in Eukaryota, Metazoa, Chordata, Amphibia, Anura, Pelobatidae. The transcript is spliced from 4 exons.
CAAUGUAUUCUUCCAAUUUUCAUGUCAAUGAAUGCAAGUGAAAAUGUGACUACUCUUUAUUAUUCACUAAACAGAUGUGCUAAUCAGCCCAUUAGGUGACGGAUUCAACACUUUUUUGCUUUGAAUGGAUGUUAAGAGAAUCAUUUACAGAAUGUGUUACAUUUAAAAUACUGUAAUAAUAAAGCACUUGUUUUCCUUCUAGAAUAUGGUAAUAAUCUGGAUCAAGACAUAUAUUCAGAGACCUCAGGCCAUUUCAGAGAUGCUUUAAUAAACUUAGUUCAGGGAAUGAGAGAGGAAGGAUACACUGAUCCUGGCAUCGCAAUGCAGGAUGCCAUGGUUCUAUGGGAAGCAUGUCAAAGGUGAACAGGAGAGCACAAAAACAUGUUGCAAAUGAUCCUCUGUAAUAAAAGCCACCAGCAAUUGUUCAUGUAUUUUGAACAAUUUCAAAAUAUUUCUGGACA